This 214-nucleotide long non-coding RNA is filed under the name Physcomitrium patens. Its description in RNAcentral is "long non-coding RNA (PPAT_LNC000936)". The record is from RNAcentral. Lineage: Eukaryota; Viridiplantae; Streptophyta; Bryopsida; Funariales; Funariaceae.
CAUUGGAUCGAUAUUUUGAUGAUUUUUUAUUGAACUAAACUACUAGUGGCUUUUUUUGAACUGUUCUUUGGCCAUGAGUUAGGAUAAAAAAUUACAAAUGAAGAAUAGCGAGGCAUUUAAAUGUUGAUUGUGGAUUUUAGAGUUAUUAGGAUUUUAAUAGUAUUAAGUUUCCAUGUAUAAGUGAAUAAAUAUAUUUAAAAAUAUUAUUUGUAAU